Molecule: long non-coding RNA, 1631 nt
Filed under: Fukomys damarensis (Damara mole-rat)
Lineage: Eukaryota; Metazoa; Chordata; Mammalia; Rodentia; Bathyergidae
Description: lncRNA (ENSFDAG00000025693.1)
Source: RNAcentral
UUUUUUUUUUUUUUUUUUUUUUUUUUUUGUGCAGGGGAUCCACAGUCUAUUUUUAAAGCCUUUACGGAGGCCACAUCCUCCAGUGUUCCAUACAGGGCCGUGGGGACAGCAAGGUGGGAGAGGCUGGAUCCCAGUGGGGGCCUAGGGCUCAGUCCUGCCGGGGACCCAGAGUGCCCGAGUUGCUGUGCGGUCACUGUGUCUCAGGGCUGUCAUUCCGGCCACAGUAGUGACAGUGCCUUUGAUUUGUUGUGUUUGGCUCUCCUGCCCCACUCCUACUCUCAGAUUGCUUCCCGCCCCUUCCUCAGCUCCCCUGAAGGAGUGGGUGGCAGGUGCUUUUCAGAGGACAUGGUGGCAUGAAGCCAACUGGAAGUGGCCCAAGCUGACGUCUCCAGUGUGGUCAGAGACACACAAGGUCCCAGGGGUCGUGGCAGGACCUGAGGAAAAUGCCUUCGUGUGGCUCAAGCAGAGACACCAGAGCCUCCGGCCUCGUCUCCUCCCACUGCCAUGCCUGGCCCUUGGUCCCCCCUCCAAGGCCUGAGGGACUUGGGGGACAGGGAUCACUGGACCUGCAUGGAGACAGCGGGGAGAGCGCCAAGUGGAGAAUUCCAGACGGAGUUGCUGCAAAUGUCUGUGAGCAGAGCAAAAGCCCCCUCAGCUGGACCCUCCUUGCCCUUCAGAAGCCCAGCCUCCCAAGCCUUUCCUGUCUCUCUCCGCAGAGAACUCAGUCCCUGGGGCCCUGGCCUGGUGCUGUCCCGAGAAGACCAGGGCUCUGGGUGCCACUCCGUCCCUCCAGUGCUCCUGGCCGUCUCUGGGGAACCAAAGCAGGAGGAGGAAGGAGACACUGGAGACAACCCUUAAGAGGGGUUUGUCACCUUCCGACUCACCUUAUGCCAGAGGCUGGUUGCCUGUCUCUUGUAUUACAUCCCACAAGGAGAGGGACUUGCCUGACUGGUUCAUGAGUAAACCCUUGUAUUAAGCACCAACUAUAUAUUUGUUGAAUGAAUUACUGACAUCCAAGUUUGCCAUGCACAGCAUCCCCGGGGAGGCUUUCUCUGGUCUCUCAGUGAACUCUGCAGUUGAGUGGAGAGUUAAUGAGGCUGUGUUAUAGUGAAAUGUGUAGUUGGUCUGGUCCCCUUUUCUUGGCCUCUGCACCAAUUGCAAUGUCCAGGGAAGUGAACCUGCCACUCUGAAUUCUGUGCACUACUAUGGUAAGCCUAUGGGUGUGGGCACUGUGGACUCCGGGGCUUGUGACUGCAGGAAAGGUGGUGCCCAGGUCCGAGGGCUGACGCUGUCUCCAGGUCCUCAAUGUCAGCACUGGGGCAGCAGAGCCUGCUCACUGCUGGGGAGAGAACCCCAUCUGCAGUCACAUGGUCUUGCAUGGUGAACGUGGUGGUGAGAAAGCAGAGGGAAAGUUGUCUUCCCACAGAACCACUGGGAAGACCGCAGCCCCUUCCCACCUCACACACUGCAGGUCAGGCCAGGCCCAGGAGCAGUUUGGAAGCUCAGUGAGGCAGAGCGGGAAGGGGCCGGAGAGACCACAGGUCCAGGCCCACACUUUCACAGGAGAGGUAACUGAAGCCCAGACAGGGAAGGCACCUGCCCAGCAUCACACAGAUCAGUGAGUGACAGCA